GGGAGUGAAGCUCGAGUGGACGAGCGCCGGUCUCCAAAGCCGGAGGCUCCAGGUUCGAGGCGUGGCGCUCCCGCCA
Molecule: transfer RNA, 76 nt
Filed under: Bradyrhizobium septentrionale
Lineage: Bacteria; Pseudomonadati; Pseudomonadota; Alphaproteobacteria; Hyphomicrobiales; Nitrobacteraceae
Description: tRNA-Trp
Rfam family: tRNA
About the family: Transfer RNA (tRNA) molecules are approximately 80 nucleotides in length. Their secondary structure includes four short double-helical elements and three loops (D, anti-codon, and T loops).
Source: RNAcentral